CCUACGGGAGGCUGCAGUAAGGAAUAUUGGACAAUGCCCGCAAGGGUGAUCCAGCCAUGCCGCGUGCAGGAAGACGGCCCUACGGGUUGUAAACUUCUUUUCUACGGGAAUAAACCUCAGGACGUGUCCUGAGCUGAAGGUACCGUAGGAAUAAGCAUCGGCUAACUCCGUGCCAGCAGCCGCGGUAAUACGGAGGAUGCAAGCGUUAUCCGGAUUUAUUGGGUUUAAAGGGUGCGUAGGUGGGAUGAUAAGUCAGAGGUGAAAGCUAGCAGCUUAACUGUUAAAUUGCCUUUGAUACUGUUAUUCUUGAGUGUAGUUGGCGUUGGCGGAAUGUGACAUGUAGCGGUGAAAUGCGUAGAUAUGUCACAGAACACCGAUCGCGAAGGCAGCUAACGAAGCUAUCACUGACACUGAUGCACGAAAGCGUGGGGAGCAAACAGGAUUA
Molecule: ribosomal RNA, 445 nt
Filed under: uncultured bacterium
Lineage: Bacteria
Description: bacterial SSU rRNA
Rfam family: Bacterial small subunit ribosomal RNA
Source: RNAcentral